GACGAACGCUGGCGGCGUGCUUAACACAUGCAAGUCGAACGGAAAGGCCCUGCUUUUGUGGGGUGCUCGAGUGGCGAACGGGUGAGUAACACGUGAGUAACCUGCCCUUGACUUUGGGAUAACUUCAGGGAACUGGGGCUAAUACCGGAUAGGAGCUCCUGCUGCAUGGUGGGGGUUGGAAAGUUUCGGCGGUUGGGGAUGGACUCGCGGCUUAUCAGCUUGUUGGUGGGGUAGUGGCUUACCAAGGCUUUGACGGGUAGCCGGCCUGAGAGGGUGACCGGCCACAUUGGGACUGAGAUACGGCCCAGACUCCUACGGGAGGCAGCAGUGGGGAAUAUUGCACAAUGGGCGGAAGCCUGAUGCAGCAACGCCGCGUGCGGGAUGACGGCCUUCGGGUUGUAAACCGCUUUCGCCUGUGACGAAGCGUGAGGGACGGUAAUGGGUAAAGAAGCACCGGCGAACUACGU
This 467-nucleotide ribosomal RNA is filed under the name uncultured bacterium. Its description in RNAcentral is "partial 16S ribosomal RNA". It matches the Rfam family "Bacterial small subunit ribosomal RNA", at positions 28 to 506 of the family's 1533-position model. The record is from RNAcentral.